GAUGAACGCUGGCGGCGUGCCUAAUACAUGCAAGUCGAGCGAACAGACGAGGAGCUUGCUCCUCUGACGUUAGCGGCGGACGGGUGAGUAACACGUGGAUAACCUACCUAUAAGACUGGGAUAACUUCGGGAAACCGGAGCUAAUACCGGAUAACAUGUUGAACCGCAUGGUUCAACAGUGAAAGACGGUCUUGCUGUCACUUAUAGAUGGAUCCGCGCCGCAUUAGCUAGUUGGUAAGGUAACGGCUUACCAAGGCAACGAUGCGUAGCCGACCUGAGAGGGUGAUCGGCCACACUGGAACUGAGACACGGUCCAGACUCCUACGGGAGGCAGCAGUAGGAAAUCUUCCGCAAAGGGCGAAAGCCUGACGGAGCAACGCCGCGUGAGUGAAGAAGGUCUUCGGAUCGUAAAACUCUGUUAUUAGGGAAGAACAAAUGUGUAAGUAACUAUGCACGUCUUGACGGUACCUAAUCAGAAAGCCACGGCUAACUACGUG
This 497-nucleotide ribosomal RNA is filed under the name uncultured bacterium. RNAcentral describes it as "partial 16S ribosomal RNA". It matches the Rfam family "Bacterial small subunit ribosomal RNA", at positions 28 to 507 of the family's 1533-position model. The record is from RNAcentral.